GGCACAACAAACGAAAAAGUUUGCAAUUCCAGGGCGCUUUUUUUUUGCUUCAUCCAGCAAGUAAAAAACAACCACUGGAAUUCACUUUACGCACAAAACGACUUUAGAACGCAGCAGGAUGUGGAAAGCGUAGGA
This 135-nucleotide small RNA is filed under the name Drosophila erecta. RNAcentral describes it as "GG26832". The record is from RNAcentral. Lineage: Eukaryota; Metazoa; Arthropoda; Insecta; Diptera; Drosophilidae.